AUUCUUCCCCAGCCAGGUAGCAGGCACAGGCUGUAAGUCCAGCAAGUAGACACAGAAGCAAGUGGACUAUUACAAGCCAAAGAUUUUAUAAAUAAGAAACUCCUAACAGAAACAGGUCCCACGGAGUCAGAUGAAAUGUUGCUCCUGCCCUCUGCUUCGGGACUUGCUUCACACAACAACCAAGAGCAAACACGAGUUCUGCUGGCUGUGCAACAUCUUGCCUUGAGAUAAACACCAAGAUGCAUAUGCAUGCAUAAUGCACUCCAAGGGGAUAUUAUCCAAGAGGAUAAUACACAUGAUGCAGAAAACUAGCCAUAUGCAAUAUAACAACGAAAGCCAAACUGACCACAAAUGCUUCUCCAGAGCUGAUUUCCAAAACUGUCCAAGCAGAGGCAAGGAAUGGAAGAAAUCUCUCACUCCUGACUCAUGCUGUUGGCCUGAACACAGGGUGGUUCGUUACUCAGAAAUGGCAUUUGGACGCUCCCCCCUGCCAGGAGGGGAGUGCUGCAGAGGGAGGAGGAAGCAUCCACAGGUCCAGAUUUGUGGAAGAGAAGAGAUUGCACAAAACUUGAGGAAUUUGGGAUACAUUUCAAGCCACAAGAGCAACAAAAGGAAAUUUUAAGCAGCAUAAUUUUUUUUUAUUAUUUUUUAAUUAUCUAGAGAGAACUGUAUCUCUACAGCAUAAUAUAUUUUGCCUAUUGUCCACAUCCCACAAAGUUUAAGUCAGCUGUGUUGCUCUCU
Phalacrocorax carbo (great cormorant) is the source of this 741-nucleotide non-coding RNA. Lineage: Eukaryota; Metazoa; Chordata; Aves; Suliformes; Phalacrocoracidae. The record is from RefSeq and is a predicted model, not a curated record.